Anastrepha ludens (Mexican fruit fly) is the source of this 2465-nucleotide RNA transcript. It is a transcript of the gene named phosphatidylinositol 5-phosphate 4-kinase type-2 alpha, with no coding region annotated. The transcript is spliced from 10 exons. NCBI's taxonomy places the organism in Eukaryota, Metazoa, Arthropoda, Insecta, Diptera, Tephritidae. The record is from RefSeq and is a predicted model, not a curated record.
AAUUUUUCAGGUCAAAUUUUUUAAAUUUACCAUACCCACAUUAAGUUCAGCAUUUCUACGAUCUAAGAAAUAUACGGAAUAGGCCCAAUUUUUUACGAAUAAAAAUUUGAUGUGGCACUUUCGACCAAAAGGACAAAUACGGCGUAAAAUCGAUUAAACAAUUUCAAACUAAGACUCCCUUGGAUAGCAUGGACAAGAAAAUGUCUUCUUCGCAGCCGCGUAUUUUGAAAAAGAAACAUUUCCGCGUAAAACAUCAAAAAGUAAAGCUUUUUAGAGCUAAUGAACCGAUUUUAAGUGUUUUCAUGUGGGGUAUUAAUCAUACGAUAAAUGAACUAAGUCAUGUUAAUAUUCCUGUGAUGCUUUUGCCGGAUGAUUUUCGAGCAUAUUCAAAAAUCAAAGUUGAUAAUCACCUGUUUAAUAAGGAAAACAUGCCGUCACACUUUAAAGUCAAAGAAUACUGCCCUUUGGUAUUUCGGAAUUUGCGUGAAAGGUUUAGCGUUGAUGACGUUGAUUACCGCGAAUCAUUAACUCGUUCUCAGCCUGUACGCAUUGAGUCAUCCGGAAAAUCUGGUGCACAAUUCUACCAAAGCUAUGAUAAAUUUUUCAUAAUUAAAAGCUUGACAUCCGAGGAAAUUGAGCGUAUGCAUGCGUUCUUAAAACAAUAUCAUCCCUAUGUCGUAGAGAAGCAUGGCAAAACUCUCUUACCGCAGUAUUUAGGUAUGUAUAGGAUAACUGUUGAGAGCGGGCAGUAUUAUUUUGUGGUUAUGCGUAACGUAUUCAGUUCACAUCUAACGAUUCACAAAAAAUUUGAUUUAAAAGGCAGUACGGUUGAUCGCGAGGCAUCUGAAAAAGAGUUAGAAAAACAUUUGCCUACGUAUAAAGACAAUGAUUUUAUAAAGCAAAAAAUCAAAAUUGAAAUUGGGGAAGAAACAAAAAAAAAAUUAUUGGACACGUUGUCAAGUGACGUUGAUCUCCUAACAAAGUUACACAUAAUGGAUUAUUCGCUCCUAGUUGGUAUACAUGACUGUGUACGUGCCGAAGAAGAAGCUUUGCAAGGGGAAAACUCUCAAGUGACUGGACGAAGCGAAAAUAGCGAAAGCGAGGAAUGUGAUAGUGGAGAAAGAUGGACUUAUAAUACACCGCCUGAUUCACCGCGAGGCGCACAAUAUAAAGAAGUAGUCUAUGAAGUUGACAUCUAUGCCAUUCCAAGUAUUGAAGACAGACGAGAAAUAUACUUUAUUGCCAUUAUAGAUGUUUUAACGCAAUAUGGUGUGAAAAAGCAGGGCACAUUCAUAAGCUGUUCAAGUUGCAAAGGGUGAGUGCUGAUUGCCAAUCAGGAGAACUACGGUCGCUUGUGGACCGCAUGUUCGAGCUUUGCAGUCUCUGGGCUCCAUCGAACAAAUAGCCGAUUGUUUGAUCCAACGCAUUAAGGCACAGAAAUUGGAUGCCAGCAGGCAUAAGCAAUGGGAAGUACGAGUUUUCGCUGAAAGGCUGCCCACUUGGAGCCCACUUAGCACUCAGGUGAUACGAUCGUUGUCGAUGAAUCUCCAAUCAACCUUCAAGGAUGUUCCCUUCUAAAUUUAGCAAAAAUAGGAUGAAAAUAUAUAAAAUAUGUUCCGUAAAUAGUUACACUUGGUCUUACAGUAUAUAUGCUGAAACAACUUCCGCCCUUGACAAGCCAUGCUUAACUGCUGUAUAAUAAUACCUACCGUGGCCCACGAUACGCGUAAUGUGUUUACGAUUUCUACCUUUCACGAUAGCGGAAUGGUAUCUGAAUUUAACUGACAUUAAGCUUAACCGUAAAGCCUAAAACGACUACGACGGCGUUACUUAAGCCGUUGAAGUCGUAGACAAGCUUAUUUUCUAUUAUUCUCCUCUUAAAAAAAGUAUGACAUGGUACAAAAAACUCGCAUACGACCUUUUGUUUCAGACUGCUUAAGAAAACAAACGCGUCUUAUACAACGAACUUACACAUAAAACUUUUAUUAUACUGCAAAUUCAGGAAAUAAUUAUUCGGUCUUGCUUCGGCAAGUUAGCCAACAAAAAGCAUCAGCUACGGCUUCCAAUACAUGGAAAUUACUACCGCUGGCCAAAGCCAAUCAUAAACCCCGAAGAAUAAUGGAAAGCUUGUUCAGAUAGCUCUACCUGCAAUAAAAGUAAACGCACUGCCUGAGGCAUUCUCCUUCGAGUCAAACAAGUAAAUAUGGAAUGCAAUACGAGUAUAAGUUCCAAAGUCUUUUAUCUUAAUUGUUUCAAUCAAAAUCAUUCAAAAAUACUACAAUGCAUUGAUUUAUACGCAAUGAAUAUAAAAAUAAGAAGCUCACAUUCCCGCCAAUUAUUUCUAAGGCUUUUCACGCAUAUUCAAGCAAGUAUUUGAAAAACCCCAAUUUUUUUAGUUUAUAAUUUAUAUACAAUAUUAUAGUAUUGUAACAAAAUGCGAAUAUUGCCCAAACGACAAAUAUGUA